CCUACGGGUGGCUGCAGUGGGGAAUAUUGCACAAUGGGGGAAACCCUGAUGCAGCGAUGCCGCGUGGAGGAAGAAGGUUUUCGGAUUGUAAACUGCUUUUAUCAGGGACGAUAAUGACGGUAACUGAAGAAUAAGCGCCGGCUAACUACGGGCCAGCAGCCGCGGGUAUACGUAGGGAGCGAGCGUUGUCCGGAAUUACUGGGGGAAAAGGGACAGGAGGGGGGGCGGCAAGUCAGAUGUGAAACCUGGGGGUGCAACUUUCAGACUGAAUUUGAAACUGCUGUUCUUGAGUGCAGUAGAGGUAAGCGGAAUUCCUAGUGUAGCGGUGAAAUGCGUAGAUAUUAGGAGGAACAUCGGUGGCGAAGGCGGCUUACUGGGCUUUUACUGACGCUGAGGCUCGAAAGCGUGGGGAGCAAACAGGAUUAGAUACCCCAGUAGUC
This 440-nucleotide ribosomal RNA is filed under the name uncultured bacterium. RNAcentral describes it as "partial 16S ribosomal RNA". It matches the Rfam family "Bacterial small subunit ribosomal RNA", at positions 338 to 795 of the family's 1533-position model. The record is from RNAcentral.